GACGAACGCUGGCGGCGUGCUUAACACAUGCAAGUCGAACGGUGACGAGGAGCUUGCUCCUCCGAUCAGUGGCGAACGGGUGAGUAACACGUGAGUAACCUGCCCCAGACUCUGGGAUAACAGUUGGAAACAGCUGCUAAUACCGGAUACGAGACGGAGAGGCAUCUCUACCGUCUGGAAAGUUUUUCGGUCUGGGAUGGACUCGCGGCCUAUCAGCUUGUUGGUGAGGUAAUGGCUCACCAAGGCGACGACGGGUAGCCGGCCUGAGAGGGCGACCGGCCACACUGGGACUGAGACACGGCCCAGACUCCUACGGGAGGCAGCAGUGGGGAAUAUUGCACAAUGGGCGAAAGCCUGAUGCAGCGACGCCGCGUGAGGGAUGA
Molecule: ribosomal RNA, 383 nt
Filed under: uncultured bacterium
Lineage: Bacteria
Description: bacterial SSU rRNA
Rfam family: Bacterial small subunit ribosomal RNA
Source: RNAcentral